This 1004-nucleotide long non-coding RNA is filed under the name Chrysemys picta bellii (western painted turtle). RNAcentral describes it as "lncRNA (ENSCPBG00000025113.1)". Lineage: Eukaryota; Metazoa; Chordata; Testudines; Emydidae. The record is from RNAcentral.
CUUCGGCUUAUAAAAGUUUGCCUCAGCAAGCCGGGGGGCUCCUCGCUCCCCCUCUGCUGGGGGACCCCGUCUGCUCCUCACCCUGGAGGCACCUCGGCUCUGUUCGCAGCGGGUGAAGGUGGGACCGUUCCCCGGGAUUUAUUGAGCUGGAUUUGCAUUUUGCACCAUGUCUUCUUGGAUCGCGGCUCCGCUGGUGGCUUUAACCGGGCUGCUGCUGUCACUUUCGGCCGGGGCUGAUGUGAAGGCUCGGAGCUGCAGUGAGGUGCGGCAGGCGUAUAGUGCCAAAGGCUUCAGCCUGGUCAAUAUACCCUUUCAGGAAAUAGCAGUCUGACAGUGACGGGACCCUCCAGGAAAGCGCGCGCCAGAGGAGGGGCAGGCUCUGGGAGGGAGGGAGCGCUCAGCGCCCCAGCCGCGAUUACACGGGUGGCCUUUGGAAACUUCUUAGAGUUGCUGCUGGGUUAUUAAAGCCAGCGAGCCGUCCUGAUGGUGGGUCCUGCCUCCACUGCCCGGUCCUGCGGGGAGACAAGUUUGCCCUUUGCCAGUGGGGGCCUCGCGGGGAUGGGGUUCUCCCCACUGCCACCGGCGGGCUCCUCUGCCUGCAGUUUGGAUCAAAUUCUGGUUCGCUAGAGGAUCUGCACAUACAUUUGGGUUUUACGUGAGGCAAGAAUUUACAAACACAGUGAAAGCGACUCGUCUCAUAAACAUGACUCCGGUUAAUCAAGUCUCAGCACAGACUCCCACGAGCGAGCACUGAAAUCAGCCCCAUCCACCAGAUUCCUCCACCCCCAACCAAGAAAAGGAGGGGAACCUGGGCAGCAGCAGCUGCUGGGGAGAGUUUCCCUGCUGUUCUGAAACAUUGUUACAACAGGUUCAUUUCAACCCUUCUUUCUAAAACAGGGAUUUUUUUUCAGUUUAUUUGCCAGAUUUUAGCUCCAACCAUAUAUUCAUUGCAUCUCUAGGACUGACUGAAUAAAAACGUGUCCGGGAAAGAGAAUCUUUUGGCA